Molecule: non-coding RNA, 103 nt
Organism: Trametes polyzona
Lineage: Eukaryota; Fungi; Basidiomycota; Agaricomycetes; Polyporales; Polyporaceae
Source: the annotation of a GenBank genome assembly
GCCAUCGUGGCGCAAUGGUAGCGCAUCACCUUCCUAUUCUGAGCUCUUCGGAGAAUAGGAGAGUGAUAGGUGGGGGUUGCGGGUUCGAUCCCCGUCGGUGGUA